RNAcentral lists this unclassified non-coding RNA (263 nucleotides) under plant metagenome. RNAcentral describes it as "partial contains small subunit ribosomal RNA, internal transcribed spacer 1, and 5.8S ribosomal RNA". The record is from RNAcentral.
UUUCCGUAGGUGAACCUGCGGAAGGAUCAUUAUUGUAUAACCGAGGUGCGUGGGCUGUCGCUGACCCGAAAGGUCGUGCACGCCCUAGUGCCCUCACACACAUCCAUCUCACCCCUAUGUGCACCACCGCGUGGGUCCCCCUUUGGCUUGUUCGGAGGGGCGCUUACGUUUUCACACAAACUUUGUAUGCAGUGUAGAAUGUAUUUUUUGUUUUUGCGAUCACGCAAUCAAUACAACUUUCAACAACGGAUCUCUUGGCUCUC